This 247-nucleotide ribosomal RNA is filed under the name uncultured bacterium. RNAcentral describes it as "partial 16S ribosomal RNA". It matches the Rfam family "Bacterial small subunit ribosomal RNA", at positions 523 to 769 of the family's 1533-position model. The record is from RNAcentral.
AUACGGAGGAUGCGAGCGUUAUCCGGAUUUAUUGGGUUUAAAGGGUGCGUAGGCGGGAGUUUAAGUCAGCGGUGAAAGUUUGAGGCUCAACCUUAAAAUUGCCGUUGAAACUGGAUUUCUUGAGUGUAUUUGAAGUAGGCGGAAUUCGUUGUGUAGCGGUGAAAUGCAUAGAUAUAACGAAGAACUCCAAUUGCGCAGGCAGCUUACUAAACUACAACUGACGCUGAAGCACGAAAGCGUGGGUAUC